UACGAAGGGGGCUAGCGUUGUUCGGAAUCACUGGGCGUAAAGCGCACGCAGGCGGAUUGAUAAGUCGGGGGUGAAAUCCCGGGGCUCAACCUCGGAAUUGCCUUCGAUACUGUCUGUCUUGAGUCCGGGAGAGGUGAGUGGAAUUCCUAGUGUAGAGGUGAAAUUCGUAGAUAUUAGGAAGAGCACCAGUGGCGAAGGCGGCUCACUGGCCCGGUACUGACGCUCAUGUGCGAAAGCGUGGGGAGCAAACAGG
Molecule: ribosomal RNA, 253 nt
Filed under: uncultured bacterium
Lineage: Bacteria
Description: partial 16S ribosomal RNA
Rfam family: Bacterial small subunit ribosomal RNA
Source: RNAcentral